RNAcentral lists this ribosomal RNA (262 nucleotides) under Escherichia coli. RNAcentral describes it as "partial 23S ribosomal RNA". It matches the Rfam family "Bacterial large subunit ribosomal RNA", at positions 1639 to 1883 of the family's 2925-position model. The record is from RNAcentral. Lineage: Bacteria; Pseudomonadati; Pseudomonadota; Gammaproteobacteria; Enterobacterales; Enterobacteriaceae.
AAAUCGUACCCCAAACCGACACAGGUGGUCAGGUAGAGAAUACCAAGGCGCUUGAGAGAACUCGGGUGAAGGAACUAGGCAAAAUGGUGCCGUAACUUCGGGAGAAGGCACGCUGAUAUGUAGGUGAGGUCCCUUGCGGAUGGAGCUGAAAUCAGUCGAAGAUACCAGCUGGCUGCAACUGUUUAUUAAAAACACAGCACUGUGCAAACACGAAAGUGGACGUAUACGGUGUGACGCCUGCCCGGUGCCGGAAGGUUAAUUG